This 253-nucleotide ribosomal RNA is filed under the name uncultured bacterium. RNAcentral's name for it is "partial 16S ribosomal RNA". It matches the Rfam family "Bacterial small subunit ribosomal RNA", at positions 524 to 776 of the family's 1533-position model. The record is from RNAcentral.
UACGGGGGGGGCAAGCGUUGUUCGGAAUUACUGGGCGUAAAGGGCUUGUAGGUGGCCAACUAAGUCAGACGUGAAGUCCCUCGGCUUAACCGGGGAACUGCGUCUGAUACUGGAUGGCUUGAGUGUGGGAGAGGGAUGCGGAAUUCCAGGUGUAGCGGUGAAAUGCGUAGAUAUCUGGAGGAACACCGGUGGCGAAGGCGGCAUCCUGGACCGACACUGACACUGAGGAGCGAAAGCCAGGGGAGCAAACGGG